GAUGAAGAACGCAGCGAAAUGCGAUAAGUAAUGUGAAUUGCAGAAUUCAGUGAAUCAUCGAAUCUUUGAACGCACAUUGCGCCCGCCAGUAUUCUGGCGGGCAUGCCUGUUCGAGCGUCAUUUCAACCAUCAAGCCCCAGGCUUGUGUUGGGGACCUGCGGCUGCCGCAGGCCCUGAAAACCAGUGGCGGGCUCGCUGUCACACCGGCGUAGUAGAUUUUAUCUCGCUCAGGGCGUGCUGCGGGUUCCGGCCGUUAAAAAGCCUUUUUUACCCAAGGUUGACCUCGGAUCAGGUAGGAAGACCCGCUGAACUUAAGCAUAUCAAUAAGCGGAGGA
Molecule: unclassified non-coding RNA, 335 nt
Filed under: soil metagenome
Description: partial contains 5.8S ribosomal RNA, internal transcribed spacer 2, and large subunit ribosomal RNA
Rfam family: 5.8S ribosomal RNA (bases 1-120)
Source: RNAcentral